AUGUACAUGAUUUUUGCUACUGCUGGCCUUGAAUUGGCACUGAUUUGGGCCACCUUGUUGAAUGAUUCGUGCACUGAUGUGUUUCGUUGGUCUUUUGCGGCAUGUGGGGAGCGUAAACUGGAAGAACGUGUGCAGCAGGCAUCGCUGCUGCGCUGGACGACGUUGUGCGAGGCCAUGGCCAUGGACGAUUUUCGUAGUUGUCACUCCCAUGUAUCUCUUCGACGAGGAGACGUGGACACGAGGCCUAACUAUCCGCAUGAUUUCUUGCUUCUUCUCAUCUUGUUGACUACUGGUUGUGUUUGUUCUCUCGCCAAAGGCCGGGACUUUGAGUUGCCUGCCAUGGUGGAGCUCGGGAUGUUGGCAGAUCUGACCGGACUGGUGAGCACUCUGCCCACACCUGCCGAGGUCGCCCUGCUCUGUGCCAUGCUCGCUGAUGAAGCUUUGAGAGAUGAAAAUUGGUUGCCUUCGGAAAAUAAGAAGAAGGAAAGAACGUUGGAAUAUGAGACUCCAUAUAUGUGUGUAUGUUUAUUUUUGCUUGAAUCUGGUGCUGAAGGUGUGAACAGCAAUUUGCAACGUCGUGGCAAGGUUCAGUUCGGCAAGGAGACCAAUGAGGCAGCUACUUGUACAAUGUCCAAGCCGAUUGUACUCUGGCCUGUCAAACAAGAAGACUCGAUGCAACUAGCUACUGAAAAGGAGAUGAAUGUGGUCAUGUUGACAACCAAGACAAAGAAGCAGGAGACCAAGCCUUCUGCGUUCCCCAUUGGCAUGCACAAGGAGUUCCGCAAGAUGGACAAUGUUGUCCAGAAUUAG
Molecule: ribosomal RNA, 810 nt
Filed under: Triticum aestivum (bread wheat)
Lineage: Eukaryota; Viridiplantae; Streptophyta; Magnoliopsida; Poales; Poaceae
Description: partial small subunit ribosomal RNA
Source: RNAcentral